RNAcentral lists this long non-coding RNA (237 nucleotides) under Ananas comosus (pineapple). RNAcentral's name for it is "long non-coding RNA (ACOM_LNC021367)". Lineage: Eukaryota; Viridiplantae; Streptophyta; Magnoliopsida; Poales; Bromeliaceae. The record is from RNAcentral.
AUAUUUAAACUAUAACACUCAAAUGCAUACUACAAAACUUUAGGCCUUUGUGACCCGCAAUGUUUGUUGUUAUAGGAUAGAAAUUCGUCGCUCAAGCUACAGCAACAAAAAAAUUUUCGUUACUGCUUAGUCACUACAGUCUCAUCGCAAAAAUAUUUUAGCGGACAAAGUAAAUUAGUUGUCGCUGCUGGCUGCUACAUUUAGUGACGACAAAAGAUUUGUCACUGUAAAUAUACU